This 599-nucleotide ribosomal RNA is filed under the name uncultured bacterium. RNAcentral describes it as "bacterial SSU rRNA". It matches the Rfam family "Bacterial small subunit ribosomal RNA", at positions 825 to 1429 of the family's 1533-position model. The record is from RNAcentral.
GGGACUUAAUUGUCUUGGUAACGCAGCUAACGCGUGAAGUAGACCGCCUGGGGAGUACGGUCGCAAGAUUAAAACUCAAAGGAAUUGACGGGGACCCGCACAAGCGGUGGAUGAUGUGGAUUAAUUCGAUGCAACGCGAAAAACCUUACCUACCCUUGACAUGGCAGGAAUCCUGAAGAGAUUUAGGAGUGCUCGCAAGAGAACCUGCACACAGGUGCUGCAUGGCUGUCGUCAGCUCGUGUCGUGAGAUGUUGGGUUAAGUCCCGCAACGAGCGCAACCCUUGUCAUUAGUUGCUACGAAAGGGCACUCUAAUGAGACUGCCGGUGACAAACCGGAGGAAGGUGGGGAUGACGUCAAGUCCUCAUGGCCCUUAUGGGUAGGGCUUCACACGUCAUACAAUGGUACAUACAGAGGGCUGCCAACCCGCGAGGGGGAGCUAAUCCCAGAAAGUGUAUCGUAGUCCGGAUUGUAGUCUGCAACUCGACUACAUGAAGUUGGAAUCGCUAGUAAUCGCGGAUCAGCAUGUCGCGGUGAAUACGUUCCCGGGUCUUGUACACACCGCCCGUCACACCAUGGGAGCGGGUUCUGCCAGAAGUAG